Long non-coding RNA from Dermacentor andersoni, 241 nucleotides. RefSeq lists it as uncharacterized. NCBI's taxonomy places the organism in Eukaryota, Metazoa, Arthropoda, Arachnida, Ixodida, Ixodidae. The record is from RefSeq and is a predicted model, not a curated record.
CAGUACAUCAGGCAGCGCUUCAACUCGGCCAUUGCACUGACCGCCUGUAUCAGCUACCUUUUCCUCACGCAAAGCAUUGGCGCACUAGCCAUCUUCGCGGCCGGUAUUACCAUCGACACAGUUUUUGGAGUGCCCUUGGUGCUGUGCAACAUUGUUAUUGGACUCUUCGGAACUCUCUACACUGCACUGGUGAGCCACAUUCUUGCUAUCAAUUCGAAUGCAUCUUUCUGCAUGAAAUUUU